GACGAACGCUGGCGGCGUGCCUAAUACAUGCAAGUUGAGCGCUGAAGGUUGGUACUUGUACCGACUGGAUGAGCAGCGAACGGGUGAGUAACGCGUGGGGAAUCUGCCUUUGAGCGGGGGACAACAUUUGGAAACGAAUGCUAAUACCGCAUAAAAACUUUAAACACAAGUUUUAAGUUUGAAAGAUGCAAUUGCAUCACUCAAAGAUGAUCCCGCGUUGUAUUAGCUAGUUGGUGAGGUAAAGGCUCACCAAGGCGAUGAUACAUAGCCGACCUGAGAGGGUGAUCGGCCACAUUGGGACUGAGACACGGCCCAACCUCCUACGGGAGGCAGCAGUAGGGAAUCUUCGGCAAUGGACGAAAGUCUGACCGAGCAACGCCGCGUGCGUGAAGAAGGUUUUCGGAUCGUAAAACUCUGUUGAUAGAGAAGAACGUUGGUGAGAGUGGAAAGCUCAUCAAGUGACGGUAACUACCCAGAAAGGGACGGCUAACUACGUGCCAGCCGCCGCGGUAA
RNAcentral lists this ribosomal RNA (513 nucleotides) under uncultured bacterium. Its description in RNAcentral is "partial 16S ribosomal RNA". It matches the Rfam family "Bacterial small subunit ribosomal RNA", at positions 28 to 523 of the family's 1533-position model. The record is from RNAcentral.